AAUUAAGUUAAGGCUAGCAACUUUGUUUCCCUCUUCAUUUAUUUCCAGUACUUCAAAACACAAUGAAAACGCAAUUUCUUCAUCAGUCUUCUUUUCUCCCCGAAACACAAGUACCUUCUUCUUCAUCAACAGCCAACUUUCGUCCGACUCAAAAGAAAAUCCCUUAUCCAAUCGAAGCGCUCAAUGGAUUUCACCUUCUCUCCAGUGAAACCUGCAUCCCUCAGAUCCCCAAUUGUCAACUCCUCAACUGAUUCACCACUCCCUCGUACUCCACUGAAACCCUAACUCGCUCUCUCCAACUCAUUCGCGAGCCCCUCAUACACCACCGCACUCCAACACAAUUCCCACUUUGUGACCUUAGCCUAUCCUUUUUAGACUGCGCCCUUAUGUUCAUCUCUCUCAGAUCUCAACUCCAUCCCCUAAUUUUUCCCCGGCGGUUAUUUCUCUCCCAAUUCAGAAUAAUGGCGAAGCAAUCUGAAGCCAGAAAUCAGAGAAUCUGGGCCAGGGCACCUCAUCCAGAUCGCCUUCCUCAUCAACAAGUAUCUCUCCGAUAACAGGCUACAUCGAAGCCUGCUUCGUUUUCCAAACUGAAGCCUCCUCGCUCUUCUCCUAGUCUUCGAUUCGAGAGGUGUCAAAGAGCUUGCUGAGUUUGUCUGAGAUUCUGAUCAAGUACAUAGCAUUGAAGGAGCAGAAAGUGUUGGACCAUGAGAAGGUUCAAGUGGAGCAAGAGAAGACCAGGGUUCAGAAGUUGUUGAAUGGGUUGCAGAACUCAAUAAACGUUUACAAUGCCAAUGGAAACCCCCAAAUCUCCAAAGUUUCGAAUGCGGCACCGAAACAAAUGCACAUGGCUCCUCAGUCUCGCCUAUCUAAUGGGUCUUCUACAGGUACAAUCCUAACCCCAUUUGCUUGUAUUUGAGAAAAUUUGAUUGAAUUGAGAAUAUAGAUGAUGUUGAUUCGGGCAUCCGAGAGCUAAAAAGUACCAAUUGAACUUGUAGAUGCUUCAUUUAUGCAUAAAGAACCUAUUUGAACCCAUUGAUAAUCAAAUAACAGAAUUUUACAAAUCCGGAAGUUACUAUCUGUCACUUGGUGACUUGGCUGAGAACUUGAAUUUCCAUAUUACUGGAUAGCUGUUGUAUUAGGCCAGGAAAUAUGAAAGUAACAUUUCUUGAAGUUUAGUUGUGUUUAGUCUCAACAAAUUUAAUGAGGCAAAGAAGUUUAAAUGAAAUUUCACUGCAUUCAUUUGUUUUUGUGCCUUGUUUUCAUCAAUUUGUUUGUUGUUACCAAAUAAUUUGGAAAAGGGCAAUAAUUUCCGAAACAAGAAGAGGAAAAAAGCCUGGUAACAUGAAACCAUAAAUGUAGUACUUGGUAGGGAUGACAGUGAAGAUUAACCCAAGUUUACUCUUUGAUAACAUAUCAACGUAAGAACCAUGAAUUGGUGAAUCCAAAAUUGUUCUUGCAAUGAGUCACAUGAAUAUAAGAAAAUAGAGGGAUUGGUUACUAGUUAGUGAGACUUCCUGUAUAACAUAUGUAUAAAUGGUGAUUAUUGUAAUAGCUCAAAAUUUAGUCUUGACUUAAUCAACCCCGUUGUGAAUCUGUUAUCUCAAUGUUUAAAGCAAAUUAGCUAGUAUACUAGUUCCAUGCUUCCUGUCAACAUGGCUUGGAAAGACAAACUCCAAGACUGGUGUCAAACUUUCAUGUUAAAGCCUCUGCAAACCCAAAUGGGCCUGAUGGGUUUUCUUGGGUGAGUCUGGCUCGGUCUAUAUGCCGCAGUUCGGAGCAGUUCUGGUCCAAUUUUGGUGACUCGGUGAAGAAGGAAACUGGGUUUGAUUUGAAGGAGGUGAAUGUGAAGGUGGGGGAGUAUUUGGGGCAAGCUGGGGAAGGAUUAAAGAGAGGUGGGACUAAGUUGGAACGGUUUUGGACCGAGUUAGUGCCCGAGUUUGUGAGUUGGAAUCAGUGGGAAAGAUGGAAGGAUAUCAAGACAUGGGAACCUAAAAGAGUUGCUGCAUUGGUUUUCUAUGUUUUUAUUGCCGUAGUUUCGUGUCAAAGAAUAUAUGUAGCAAUUUGAGCUCCUAUCCAAGAUAGCCAGAGGAAAGAGUUGACAGAGGCUUAUAUGGAGGCAGUGAUUCCUGAGCCAUCUCCGAGUAAUGUUAGAAAGCUCCUUGUUUUGUAUUUGUGGACGAGAUUGAUGCUAUUGCUGGAAGGCAUGCAAGACAUGAUUCACGGAAUAGGAACUAUGGUGGCAAGGUAUGGAAUACUUCCCCAGAUGAGCAAAACCGCCUCAAAGCUCAAGUCUUUAACAACCCAUGUAC
Molecule: long non-coding RNA, 2309 nt
Organism: Rosa rugosa (rugosa rose)
Lineage: Eukaryota; Viridiplantae; Streptophyta; Magnoliopsida; Rosales; Rosaceae
Exons: 5
Source: RefSeq, a predicted model, not a curated record